GGUGGUCAUAGCGGGAAGGAAACACCCGGUCCCAUUCCGAACCCGGAAGUUAAGCUUUCCAGCGCCGAUGGUACUGCCUCCUUGCUGGGGUGGGAGAGUAGGACGCCGCC
Molecule: ribosomal RNA, 110 nt
Filed under: Nocardiopsis ansamitocini
Lineage: Bacteria; Bacillati; Actinomycetota; Actinomycetes; Streptosporangiales; Nocardiopsidaceae
Source: RNAcentral